CAGAAAAUUUGACCCAACAUCUAAAUGACCAAUGGGCUGAUAUGGUUUCAUCUUCUGACCAAUGAAACCGGGACUCUCCCUCUCAAGCCUGGGUGUGACCUCUCUGCCUCUGUUGGAGGAAGUGAUGAAACAGCUGCUGCAGGAGGUUGUUUGGGUUGUUUCUGCUCUCUCACUUCUUCCAGGGUGUGACCGGCAGGUGCAGCCACCUGAGCUGCAGCUCAUUACUGAUCUUUAGGAGGAGCUUAAAGAGAGCCUGGAUCCCCAGAACAGACGCCAGAGCGGUUGCUUUCAUGAGCGUAGAUCUCUUGGAAGCAUUGUCAAAAAUCCGAAAGACUCAUUCCUUAAGUUGGCACCUACUGGGGAACCAUUGCCCAAACCUCCUUCCUCAUUUCACGGCUGCAGCUCACCUGGUGCUCACACAGAAACCCUCACCACCACCGCUUCCUUACUCACCUGCCUGUCCACCCUCCUUGCUCCUUGGAUUCCAUCUGAAAAACAGAAAGACUAUCUUAACAACCCAAACUCCUGUCAAACUCAGCUCAGUGACGUGACCUUUUUUCCUCCUGGAUCAUCCUUCACUUCAAGAACAUGGCCGCUUGGAGACCUGUCUCAAGCUUGACUGACAGCCUCCUCUUAAAUCUUGUUAAAAGAAAGAAAGAAAUAUAUUUUGAAACCC
Molecule: long non-coding RNA, 676 nt
Organism: Girardinichthys multiradiatus
Lineage: Eukaryota; Metazoa; Chordata; Actinopteri; Cyprinodontiformes; Goodeidae
Exons: 4
Source: RefSeq, a predicted model, not a curated record